GAUGUGGUACAUAUUUGCAAUGGAAUAUUACUCAGCCCCAAAAAGAACAAAAUAAUUCCAUUUGCAGCAGCAUGGAUGCAACUAGAGAUUGUCAUACUCAGUGAAGAAACAAAGAAAAAGUCACACACCGUAUGAUAUCACUUGCACAUGGAAUCUAAAAUAUGGUACAAAUGAACCUAUCUACAAAACAGAAACAGACUCAUGACAAAGAACAGACUUGUGGUUGCCAAGGGGGAGGGGAAUGGAAUGCGCUGGGCUGGGAGUUUGGAUGUAGUAAAUGAAAACUAUUCCAUUGAGAAUGGAUAGACAGCAAGUUCCUACUGUAUAGCACAGGGAACGAAACCCAGUCUCUUGGGAUAAACCAUAAUGGAAAGGAAUAUAUUUUUUAAAAGAUGUAUAUAUUUGUAUAAAUAAGUCACUUUGCUGUACAGAAGAAAUUAACACAACAUUGUAAAUCAACUAUACUUUAAAAAAAAAAAAACUUUCUUUCUUGGAUUAAUUGGAUUGGACUAGCUCAUUGCAUCAGGAAAAGCAAGAUUUUUAAAGGCUCUGCAGCAAUUUAUUUGCCCAAUCCCAAACCAGGUAAUCCUCUUUAAGUUUCCAACAAGAAUGUUUAAGUACAAUGGGAAAGUCACCCCUCCAAGGAUCUUAGGUGUAAACUGUGUGACCCUGUAACAUUCUGUACUUCCUGAUGAGCAUCUAAUGAUCAUGCUAUAUUAUAGAUCCCUAAUUCCAUGCCUAGAAUAACACCAAUUUGUAAAUUAGGUGAGAUAUGGAUUAUAUAUAUCUUGUUCCAGACCCUAUCACAAUGCUGAAACAUGUUGGUUAGCAAUAGAUACUUGCUGAACAAAUGAAAUUCACCAUCAUCCAUUACAGAUUAUAUACACAUUAGCAAUACUAUGCUGAGAGACUGGAUAUCUCAUAUGUUGCUGGUGGGAGUGUAAAUGGACACAGCCACCCCAGGAAACGGGGUAUUGAUGAUGGGGAACACGUCCUCUGAAGGAGGUGAAGCAGCAGUGGGAACUUCAGAAAGAAAAAGUGAGGUGUAGUCUCAAUAUCUACCCCUGCGGAGCACGGUAAGAACACCUGCUACGUAAACUGGGAUGGUUUGAGGGAUAAAACAAACUCCCUUCAGGGGAAAGUCCAGGGAAUCUGCCCAGAUACUUCAAUUAAAUAAAGUCUUUAGUCUUUUCUCCCAAAUACCAGUCACAAGAGAAUUUUUAAUAGAGAAAGUACAGUGGAAAAAACACUGUUUCUUGAAACCCAGCUCUGAUACCUGUAUUGUGUCCUGUCACAUCACAGCCACACUCCUGCAAUAGCAUUUUCGCUGGCCUCCUUUCUGCCACUCUUUUCGGCUUCCAGUCAAAAAGGCAUCAAGUGCCAGGUAAACAUGUCUACAGCAUUAGUCAUCUCCAUGCUAUUCACAAAUUCUUCAAAUAUUUUCUUUUAUCAAAAAAGUCAGGGAGGGGAGUUCCCGUCGUGGCGCAUGGAAACGAAUCCAACUAGGAACCAUGAGGUUGAGGGUUUGAUCCCUGGCCUUUGCUCAGGGGUUAAGGAUCCGGCAUUGCCGUGAACUGUAGUGUAAGUCGCAGACGCGGCUCGGAUGUGGCAUUGCUGUGGCUGUGAUAUAGGCCAACAGCUGUAGCUCCGAUUAGACCCCUAGCCUGGGAACCUCCACAUGCUGCAGGUAUGGCCCUAAAAGGACAAAAGACAAAAAAAAAAGUCAGGAGUUCCCAUUGUGGCUUAGCAGUAAUGAACCCGACUAGUAUCCAUGAGGAUGCAGGUUCAAUCCCUGGCCCUGCUCAGUGGGUUAAGGAUCCAGUGUUGCCAUGAGCUCUGGAGUAGGUGACAGAUGUGGCCCAGAUCUGGUGUCGCUGUGGCUGUAGAGUAGGUCAGCAAUUGUAGCCCCAAUUCAACCCCUAGCAUGUGAGCUUCCAUUUGCUGCAGGUUUGGCUCUAAAAAGAAAAAAAAAAAAAACCCUCAUCAGGGGAAGAUCCCC
Molecule: long non-coding RNA, 1999 nt
Filed under: Sus scrofa (pig)
Lineage: Eukaryota; Metazoa; Chordata; Mammalia; Artiodactyla; Suidae
Description: lncRNA (ENSSSCG00050049867.1)
Source: RNAcentral